CUGUCAGCUGAUUGACGGCCUGGAGUACCUGCAUAGCCAGGGCAUUGUGCACAAGGACAUCAAGCCGGGGAACCUGCUGCUCACCACCGGUGGCACCCUCAAAAUCUCCGACCUGGGCGUGGCCGAGCACUGCACCCGUUCGCGGCGGACGACACCUGCCGGACCAGCCAGGGCUCCCCGGCUUUCCAGCCGCCCGAGAUUGCCAACGGCCUGGACACCUUCUCCGGCUUCAAGGUGGACAUCUGGUCGGCUG
Molecule: long non-coding RNA, 253 nt
Filed under: Homo sapiens (human)
Lineage: Eukaryota; Metazoa; Chordata; Mammalia; Primates; Hominidae
Description: HSALNT0254183
Source: RNAcentral